GACGAACGCUGGCGGCGUGCUUAACACAUGCAAGUCGAACGGAAAGGCCCUGCUUUUGUGGGGUGCUCGAGUGGCGAACGGGUGAGUAACACGUGAGUAACCUGCCCUUGACUUUGGGAUAACUUCAGGAAACUGGGGCUAAUACCGGAUAGGAGCUCCUGCUGCAUGGUGGGGGUUGGAAAGUUUCGGCGGUUGGGGAUGGACUCGCGGCUUAUCAGCUUGUUGGUGGGGUAGUGGCUUACCAAGGCUUUGACGGGUAGACGGCCUGAGAGGGUGACCGGCCACAUGGGGACUGAGGUACGCAGCAGACGCCUACGGGAGGCAGCAGGGGGGAAUAUUACACAACGGGCGGAAGCCUGAUGCAGCAACGCCGCGUGCGGGAUGACGGCCUUCGGGUUGUAAACCGCUUUCGCCUGUGACGAAGCGUGAGUGACGGUAAUGGGUAAAGAAGCACCGGCUAACUACGUG
Molecule: ribosomal RNA, 468 nt
Filed under: uncultured bacterium
Lineage: Bacteria
Description: partial 16S ribosomal RNA
Rfam family: Bacterial small subunit ribosomal RNA
Source: RNAcentral